GCUAAGAAUAUUCCGCAAUGGACGAAAGUCUGACGGAGCGACGCCGCGUGGAUGAAGAAGGCUGAAAAGUUGUAAAAUCCUUUUGUUGAUGAAGAAUAAGGGGAAGAGGGAAUGCUUCUCUGAUGACGGUAAUCAGCGAAUAAGCCCCGGCUAAUUACGUGCCAGCAGCCGCGGUAACACGUAAGGGGCGAGCGUUGUUCGGAAUUAUUGGGCGUAAAGGGCAUGUAGGCGGCUAUGUAAGCCUGAUGUGAAAUCCUGGGGCUUAACCCUAGAAUAGCAUUGGGUACUGUGUAGCUUGAAUUACGGAAGGGAAACUGGAAUUCCAAGUGUAGGGGUGGAAUCUGUAGAUAUUUGGAAGAACACCGGUGGCGAAGGCGGGUUUCUGGCCGAUAAUUGACGCUGAGAUGCGAAAGUGUGGGGAUCGAACAGGAUUAGAUACCCUGGUAGUCCACACCGUAAACGAUGUACACUAGGUGUUGGGGCAAGAGCUUCAGUGCCAAAGCAAACGCGAUAAGUGUACCGCCUGGGGAGUAUGCCCGCAAGGGUG
RNAcentral lists this ribosomal RNA (547 nucleotides) under uncultured bacterium. Its description in RNAcentral is "bacterial SSU rRNA". It matches the Rfam family "Bacterial small subunit ribosomal RNA", at positions 354 to 896 of the family's 1533-position model. The record is from RNAcentral.